CACGGGCGCACGCUUGCACACCCACGCACUGGAACAAAGCUUGAGCAUGUUUGAAUGAGUAUCUAAGUUGUGGGUGACAAUGCACUGCUGGCAGGGAACUGCAUGUGGAGCCAUGUGGGCCUCCAUGUGACCAUACAGCCGGGUCUGCCAGCAAUGUGUAGCAUUAGCGCAGAAGCAGUACUGAAAUGCUAACGAAAGCAACGUCUUGCCUUCUUUUCAGCUGCAUGCGAGAGAACUAAAGAAGACAAAUAAUCACUCACCUUCAACAUUCCAUACUUCAGAAAAUGGCUCCACAUCCACAAUGUCACCUCCUGCGCCUGAUGAUGAUGUCACUUCCAGUUCUCCAUCGAUGACAUCACUCCCAGCUCCCGAUGAUGAUGUCACUUCCGGUCCGCCUCCAAUAACAUCACUUCCGUCCCCCAUUGAUGACAUUACUUCCCAUAUUACAUCAUUUCCUGUAGCCAUUUUCUGACUGUAUAAAAAUGAUGAUCACCCAAUCCUUUGAUGUUGAAUGUCUGAUAUUUAUUGAUCUUUUUUUUGACCAACAAUAUUGCACCACAGCAAUAUACGGUGCAAUUCCCCAACUCAUUGAAGUUGUUUGUGAGUAAUUUAUCACAAUUGCCGUAGUUGGCAGGAUACAAACUUUGUUCAAGGAUGUCAGAGGGACAAGAUCUCAACGCGGUUUUGAACACCCUGGCAGCUGAACUUCAGCAAAUGAAGAUUCAGCUCGGAGACACGAGUACCUGGUUGGCGAAA
Long non-coding RNA from Polypterus senegalus (gray bichir), 756 nucleotides. RefSeq lists it as uncharacterized. The transcript is spliced from 3 exons. Lineage: Eukaryota; Metazoa; Chordata; Cladistia; Polypteriformes; Polypteridae. The record is from RefSeq and is a predicted model, not a curated record.